UAGGUGGCAAGCGUUGUCCGGAAUUAUUGGGCGUAAAGCGCGCGCAGGUGGUAUAAUAAGUCUGAUGUGAAAGCCCACGGCUCAACCGUGGAGGGUCAUUGGAAACUGUAAUACUUGAGUGCAGGAGAGAAAAGUGGAAUUCCUAGUGUAGCGGUGGAAUGCGUAGAGAUUAGGAGGAACACCAGUGGCGAAGGCGGCUUUUUGGCCUGUAACUGACACUGAGGCGCGAAAGCGUGGGGAGCAAA
Molecule: ribosomal RNA, 245 nt
Filed under: uncultured bacterium
Lineage: Bacteria
Description: partial 16S ribosomal RNA
Rfam family: Bacterial small subunit ribosomal RNA
Source: RNAcentral